RNAcentral lists this unclassified non-coding RNA (279 nucleotides) under fungal sp. RNAcentral's name for it is "partial contains 5.8S ribosomal RNA, internal transcribed spacer 2, and large subunit ribosomal RNA". The record is from RNAcentral. Lineage: Eukaryota; Fungi.
CGCACAUUGCGCCCCCUGGUAUUCCGGGGGGCAUGCCUGUUCGAGCGUCGUUAGUACCAAUCAAGCACCGCUUGGAGUUGGGCCACCGUCGUCCGCGCCCCGGCGCGAGGCGGGCCCGAAAAUCAUCGGCGGACGGCCCCGGAAGUGUCACAGGCGUGGUAGAUUUUUCUGACGCCUCAUGGGCACGGCGGGCCGGACGGCCGCAGGACUUCGACCGUCCCCGUCGAAAAGGGACGUAUGUUUGACCUCGAAUCAGGUAGGAAUACCCGCUGAACUUAA